RNAcentral lists this ribosomal RNA (242 nucleotides) under Russulaceae sp. Its description in RNAcentral is "partial large subunit ribosomal RNA". The record is from RNAcentral. Lineage: Eukaryota; Fungi; Basidiomycota; Agaricomycetes; Russulales; Russulaceae.
AAACGCUUGAAGUCAGUCGCAUCGACCGAGACUCAGCCUUGCCUCGGCUUGGUGUACUUCUCGGCUGAUGGGUCAGCAUCGAUUUCGACCCUUGGAUAAUGGUGGGGGAAAGGUGGCACCUUUACCGGUGUGUUAUAGCCUUUACUUGCAUACAGUGGUUGGGAUUGAGGAACUCAGCACGCCGCAAGGCCGGGUUUCGACCACGUUCGUGCUUAGGAUGCUGGCAUAAUGGCUUUAAUCGA